UGGGGAAUAUUGGACAAUGGGCGAAAGCCUGAUCCAGCCAUGCCGCGUGUGUGAAGAAGGUCUUCGGAUUGUAAAGCACUUUAAGUUGGGAGGAAGGGCAGUAAGCGAAUACCUUGCUGUUUUGACGUUACCGACAGAAUAAGCACCGGCUAACUCUGUGCCAGCAGCCGCGGUAAUACAGAGGGUGCAAGCGUUAAUCGGAAUUACUUGGCGUAAAGCGCGCGUAGGUGGUUCGUUAAGUUGAAUGUGAAAGCCCCGGGCUCAACCUGGGAACUGCAUCCAAAACUGGCGAGCUAGAGUAGGGCAGAGGGUGGUGGAAUUUCCUGUGUAGCGGUGAAAUGUGUAGAUAUAGGAAGGAACACCAGUGGCGAAGGCGACCACCUGGGCUCAUACUGACACUGAGGUGCGAAAGCGUGGGGAGCAAACAGG
RNAcentral lists this ribosomal RNA (429 nucleotides) under Pseudomonadota bacterium. RNAcentral describes it as "Proteobacteria bacterium partial 16S ribosomal RNA". It matches the Rfam family "Bacterial small subunit ribosomal RNA", at positions 355 to 776 of the family's 1533-position model. Lineage: Bacteria; Pseudomonadati; Pseudomonadota. The record is from RNAcentral.